GGUGCCGGGGGCGGCCCCGGGGCGGAGCCGCCCUCCCCGCGGCCGGGAGGAGCCGCACGGCAGCCCCGGCAGCGGCCGAUGGCGGAGCCGUGCGGCGAUCACGGGCCGCGCUGGGCGCUGCCGCUCCGCCCGCCGCUCUGCCUCGCCUGCGCCGUGGAGACCCUGGGCGACGGCAGCGCCUCGCUGGUGCGCAAGAAGCACGUCCUGUCCCGUCUCCAGGAUGCCCUGGCCUGGCAGGCGCUGCCAGUCGUCCAGCUGCUGGCACCAGACGAGAGGGUGUGCAUGCAUUUGAUAGGAACUCUCUUUGGGAUGUUGCAUUCUGUGGAAGACAGCAGUGCCCUGAACCUAUUAGUUGAAGUUCUGGUGCGGCUUCUUGUGGAGCUGAAGUCAGAACAGUACUUAUACUGCAUCUUGGAUGAAAGUCAGAAGGAGCUGUGCAAAGCAACUACCAUGAGAAGCAGCCUGCCCACAUUUUCUCUCUUGGGCAAGCUGGCAGAUGCCAUCCCAGGCUUUGCUGAUCUACUGGUGGGAAAGCACAAUAAUUUAGUGGAUCAUCUGCUGAUGGGCUUGAUGUACCCAAACGAAGGUAUAAAGGCUGCUGUCUGCUACUUGUAUGGCAAGUUGUACUCCUCUCCUGUUGGCACAGAACGGCUCUCAGGACACUUUGAAGAAAGGCUGUGUGGUGUCUUCUUGAAUACCUUGGGGUGUGCACAGACAAAGGAGCUGCAGGUUAAUUGUUUGGGUUUGCUAAAGGAGCUGCUGAAAUCUGAUCAUUUUGUAUCUAUUCUUAUGAAUAAUUCAAAGACAGAGGAGGAGACUGAGAACCCUGACUUUUUAGAAGGGGAAAAUCCACUGCCACUUGUUCUCAAAAAGCUCUUGUUGACCAGAGAUGAGAUGUUACAGGCAGCGAGUUCUCACUGUAUGGCUUCAGUGCUGGUUCACUCUCCUAGCAGAUAUGCUUCUGCUUUUAUCCAUGCAGAUGUCCCAGAGUUUCUCUUCGAGUGUCUCUUGUGCAAAAGUGAAUUCCUAAUCUGGUCAGUGUACUGCUGCCUGCUCCUCCUGACUGAAGAGCGCCUUUUCUUCUCCAAGUGUCACACCGUCUAUGGCAUUGAAUCUCUGGUGAGGAGUCUCCAGGGUGUCCUGCUGCUGAACAAUGUGGAGUUGCACAAGCAAGGGCUCCUGCUCUUCACUGAAAUACUGAAACGGCAACCAGUGGAAAUCAAAUUAUUCACAAACCGAGGUGUAUGUAUAGAAGCCAUUGAUGUUCUGAUGGAGACAGUGAACUGCCCAGCGCUGGAGGUGGCGGUGGAGGCUGUGAAAGCUGUGGCAGCUUUCCUGAGGAAGGACCAUCUGAGCUCCCCUCCAGUCCCAUAUGAAGAGCUGCAGAAACUUCUGGAAGCAAUGCUGAAGCGAUGUGCUGACCUUUCCCCACCACAGAGUAGUAAGAGGCAUGCAGGUGAUCUCCUAUUCUCAGUGUCUCAGAGUCACCCAACAAACAGAAAUCUUGGUAGAGUUCCUCAGAGACAUGGUCAGUUCUUACUCAAUACCCUGGAAAGUUUCAGAAAUGCUUGCAGGUUAGCAGUGGAAUUCCAGGGUGACUUCAUGGCCCAGGAGAAUGCUUUCACUGCCCCCAACUCUGAGAGCAAAGACACACUAAGCAACUUCUCCGAGUUCCUGUUGAGGAUUUGUGACAGUCUCUGCAUCCCCAUGGUCAUGAGCUAUCUGGAAAGGGCUGUCAGCCCACCAGUGACAGAGGUUUUCAUCUCAACACUCAGUACCCUCUUUACAGUGGUGCCAAGCAUGAGGAAUAAGUUCUCCAAGAAGCUGGCAUCCUCGUCCUUCAUCCGACUGACACUGGAGCUGAAGGCCAGAUUUUGCUCUGUACAGAGUAAUCCUGUCCUGAAUCACACCUGUUCCAGCUUCCUCUGCAGCUUAUGCCUGAACCUUUACGCAGCCACAGAGAAGAGGAGAACUUCUUCUCAAGAGGAGCAAGAGAUGUCUGAGCUCCUGCAGAAGGGUCUGCCUCAGUUAAACUUCACCAUUGCUGAAAGCCUUCUCCUCCUGUCUGAAGCCCCUGAGCCUUUCUUUUUGGAUCAGUCUCUUUGCAGCCAUCAGCACUGUUUCAUACUGCUCUUAUACUUUGCCUACACCUUUGGGGACAGGUUUGUUCCAGAGGCAGAAUUAUUUCUAGCUGUAAGAAAUUUUCUCCUCUCAGCACAGGACCAUGGAGACUGUCCCCCUCCACACAUACUCAGAGCUGCACUUUACCUCCUUGCCGUCUGUCAGGACAAAGGCAAAGCCCUGGAUGUGAGGUCUUUGUCUACCAUAAGAAGGAUCCUAGAUAAUCUUCCAGAUCUGAGCCUGGUCUAUGUCCAUUGUCCUCUCCUGCUGAAAUUCUUCCUGAGCUACUCUGAACUUAUGGGGAAAUUUGGACACCAAAUCCUCCAACUCUGGUUUUCCUGGGAAGACUGCAAUCAGUCUGAGGCGGAAGAAGGUGAUUUUGGCACGUCUGAUCAGCUGAACAGCACUAACCCAUUGCUUCCCAUACUGAAGAGUAAUUCCAGCAUUUUGCUUAUUUUACUGGACCUGGUCUGCUCAGGCUCUGUGGAAGUGGCUUGGAAGGUGUUGAUUACUCUAAGGACCUUCCUGGAAAGAAAUGAGGAUGUCCUUGUCUGUGACCUCCUUCGGAGCCGUUUUUUACAGAUUCUGCAGCAGCUGCUGGUAGAGAGUAGCUCAGCCACCCUACAAGCUAACAGGAACCUGCCUGUUUUGCUGAGCCUUCUUUUCCUGGUGCAGCUGCGGAGCAAGGGCAUAAGGGAGCUGGACAGCACAGACUUCAAGCUGCUUCACCAGGUCAGUAAUCUCUGUGGGAAAUGCAGGCCAAGGGACACUGACCUCCUGCAGCCAUCCUUGAAUUUUCUGUACUGGAGCCUUCAUCAGACAACACCUUGCAGUCAGCAGAGAGCAGUGGCUGUGCUGCUCUCCAACGUGUCCUUGUUAGAACUCCUGCAGAAGGUUUUGGAAUGCACCUGGCUGUGGUCCCCUACUUCCAGACCUGCCUACCUGUCAUCUGAGGAUGCCUUGCUGUGCUCUGGAUGGCUGUUGGUGGCUUCCCUUUUGCUUUAUCAGCAUCGAUACAAUACUGAGUUAUUCCUUGCAGCACCUCUCCAGCAGGAUGGAAAGCUAGCAUGUCACUGAAGGUCUGAGACACGAAUCAUCAAAGAGUUAAAGAAGGGCACAAAUCCUGCAGGGAGAAGUGCAUACCCAACCUUCCUGAUCCAAAUCACUCUCCUCUUCAGGACAGAGCAAAAUACAUUUUAAAACCUUUCUCAAGGGAAGCCUGGGGGUGGAAGGCACAGCUCCCAUGUUGUAAACUGCUUUUUUGUUACUAAAAUGAUCAAUAGUGAAAUAGAACCUAUUAUUGGUAAGUAAGUGUUCAAUAUUAGCAAGCUCUUAAGAAUGUGGGCAGCUGUCAUUAUAUUUGAUGCUUUGCAGUCCAACAAGACAUCUAAGCUGGAGUUGUCAGCUAAUAAUGGAAUUUACAACUUUGAAGAAAGCACUUUCCAAUGCCAAUCAAUAUAAGGAAAAAAUGUUUCCUUUUGAAGUAUCUACCCAGACCUCUCUUGAUACAGAGUUAGAGAGCAUGUCAUGAGUUGUGAGCUCUGCUGUUGCAGUUAUGCCCAGCAGAGCAUGCUCUUUGGGAGUUGGUACACCUGUUUGCAGAUGAUAAGAUCACAUUAAGGACAUUCAUGCAUGAGCACAGAAAAGCAAGGGUUGGAUUUCUAAUACUGAAGGGAAGAUGUUUUCCAGAAGACCAGCCCAGACCAAGUCUGCACCCAUUACUUUGUCAGCAUGAGCUGGGCUUAGAGCAUGGUACUUGUACAGACUGUCAGCUGUGGGAAUGCAGCCUGGCCCCGCUCUGCCAGCUGCUAAAUACAGCCUGUCUUCUCAAUUUCCUGGGGAAAUUGACAGGGCUGUGUCUGGUGUUGUGCCAGUCCCAAAUGACAUUCUAGUGUCCAGUGUCAAGUGUUGAGCUCCUGGGAGUGAUGCUCUCAGCUGGUAUUGAUCCUUGAAGUGCAAUCAUCUAGCAGCUCAUAAGCCUGUUGCUUGGUUUUACCAAUACCACUGGCUUGAUGUGCUACCAUAUACAACCCAGAAAUGUUUUUGCACCAGAGAUGAGGAAAGAAACUACAGAUACAGCUGGGAAAUGGAAAGGGAUCAAGACUGCUUCAGUGUUUCUGAUCUUCAGCAUUUCUAAGUGUUCGUGUUUCUAAUAUUCUGCUGAAGGGGAAGAAGUGGAAGAGUCACUUCUCUUGCUUCUUUCUGCUGUUGAGUGUAGCUGGAGCUGCACAAAGCAUCCUGGAGACUCUCGUAAGAGCACCUUUGUGGCUGUGAAUGUAAGCUGAUGACAGGCUGUCUCCCUGAGUCUGCAGUUUUUUAGGGGAGAACAAUGGCUUCAAGAAAUGGCCACAUUCAUCUCAGGCUGAUGUUAAUAGUGAGGACUUGUUUGGCCAUAGCAAACUUACAUCUUUACUUGUGUUACUGCUACCCUGUGAAUAAACAGGACUCAUGGAUGGUAGGCUAUUAAAGGCUUUGACUUGUCAGUUCUAAAAUGAGUACCCACUGCCACCAUGUUGCAGGAGCUACUCCUAGUUCUGUGGAAUAUUUCCCUCUUCGGAAGAGUAUUUAAAAGAGUCAGCCCUGUGAUCUUUAUGCCUGCCUUCCCAUAUCAACUCUCUGGCUUAUUGAAGAAUUUGAACCCUUCUGCUGUUCUCUGAGCUUCAUGCCAUUGCUCUUGAAUGGCUGUUCUGUGGUGGAAACAAUAUAUUGCAGAUUUCCCUCUCAAGGCAACCUUUCCUGUUUCAACUAGUUCCCAAAUCCCUAAACUCCUCUGCCACUUUCACCCAUGCAAUAGUUCCUAUCCCUGGGCUCUCAGCAGGCCCCAGCUCCAGCAGGGAAAAACAGCUUCUGGCCAUUGCUGCUUUUGGCUGCCUGGCUCCUUGGUCUUGUUGCAUGGCUCUGUGGCUAAGGUAGAGCCAUGUUUGCUGGUAGCUGUUCCUGACACUUCAUGUGCUUGGCAGGCUGACAACCACGUGUCGGAGGUCCUGCAGAGAGUAGUGAGAACAAGACAGACAAGGUAAAGUGUGGUUUGGAAGCUGUGCAGCUCAGGCAACUAGUGGUGAGUGAAGCAUGAGGGUCCAAUGAUGUAAUUUUCUCUUCUGUGUCAGCCUCCUGAAACCCUGUUGCUGUUCCCUUGGUUUUCAGUGGUCACCAUGGGUUAGUGUCUAAGAACUAGAAGUAUUUAAUGGCACUUUUUAUCUGCUCCAAACAAGCACCGCUUUUCUAUUUAAUUCUCUUCUAGGUUCACCAGACACUCUCUGUAGACCUUAAAGAAGUCCUGAAUGCAGUCAUCUUCAGGAAUAAGAAGCCAAUCUUGCUGUUAGUGAGCAUCAUGCAGUUC
Parus major (Great Tit) is the source of this 5461-nucleotide RNA transcript. It is a transcript of the gene named meiotic double-stranded break formation protein 1, with no coding region annotated. The record is from RefSeq and is a predicted model, not a curated record. The transcript is spliced from 26 exons. Lineage: Eukaryota; Metazoa; Chordata; Aves; Passeriformes; Paridae.